CUGAUCUGUAUGCAGCUCCAACUCCCUCUCCAGUUCAGAGUUUUGGAGCCGUCUUGUUCGAAAGUAAAGAACAGAACACAGAUGGCUGGUAACAGGAUCCCACAGGGGCCUCCUUUCCCACUGAGCCCAUCCUGCUAAUCCUUUCACAGAAGAGAAAAUAAAUGGUGAAUGAAGCAAGAAAAAAAAGAAGAAGAAGAAAAGAAAGAAAAGAAUAGAAAGAAAGUAUCAGCUUCUGCAUAUUCUGUGGGUAUAGGUGGAAGGUCUCUGAGAAGGACUCUCACUAUCAUUAAGUUUCCCAGGCAUAUUCCCUUCCUGGUCCUUCUUGUUCCUCAUCCAUUUCUUUUCCCUUCAUUCCUCCCAUUUUCCAUCCCAGUUCCCAAUUCUCUGUAGUAUCUUUGAAUCUGGUAGAGUGUUUUGUCUGAAUGCCUUCUAUUUGAGCCAGGCAUUUCCCCUCCUGGUUCUGGGAAUCCAACCUAAGGCCUUGUACUUCUGGACUUAAGUGAUCCUUUGCCUCAGCCUCCUGAGUAGCUGGUACUAUAGGCAUGAACCACCACAUCAAGCUGCUUUGCCAUUUACUGGACACAACAUCUUUGUUGGUAUGUGGUGCUGAGGAUCGAACCCGGGCCGCACGCACUCCAGACGAGCACGCUACCAGUUGAGCGACAUCCCCAGCCCUCUCAUACUAUUUUUAUAGUGUUUUCCUUGGAAGAAAAGAUGCUUAGUUGCAGACUGGGACUGUGUGACUUUAGGUAACUCAUUGUCCCUCUUUGGAUUUCACUAGAACAGAGAAAGGAUCAUUGCUCUUCUUCACUCUAGGAAACAAGGAAGUCUAUAAACUCCAGGAGAAAAGUUAAGUACAGAUGGUAUUAUCCUUGGCACUGAGAAUAUCAGAAGUACAGUCCAGUCAAGGGCCACUGUUCAAUUUAUGUGAUUACCAAAGACUCAGCUGACACAGGGUUGUGGUUUGACAUGGCUUCUUUGUUCCAGAUAAUAAACAUGUGUAAUGUCAA
This is a non-coding RNA of Ictidomys tridecemlineatus (thirteen-lined ground squirrel), 1010 nucleotides long. The record is from RefSeq and is a predicted model, not a curated record. NCBI's taxonomy places the organism in Eukaryota, Metazoa, Chordata, Mammalia, Rodentia, Sciuridae.